This 473-nucleotide ribosomal RNA is filed under the name uncultured bacterium. Its description in RNAcentral is "bacterial SSU rRNA". It matches the Rfam family "Bacterial small subunit ribosomal RNA", at positions 28 to 512 of the family's 1533-position model. The record is from RNAcentral.
GAUGAACGCUGGCGGCGUGCCUAAUACAUGCAAGUCGAACGAGGUGCUUUUGUAGCAAUACGAAAGUAUCCUAGUGGCGAACGGGUGAGUAACGCGUUGGUGACCUACCCCAAAGUGUGGGAUAACAGUUCGAAAGAACUGCUAAUACCGCAUGUGGUUAUCGGGUUUAGAAACUGAUAACUAAAGGAGCAAUUCGCUUUGGGAGGGACCUGCGUCCCAUCAGCUAGUUGGUGAGGUAACGGCUCACCAAGGCUACGACGGGUAGGGGACCUGAGAGGGUGGCCCCCCACAAUGGAACUGAAACACGGUCCAUACACCUACGGGUGGCAGCAGUAGGGAAUAUUGCACAAUGGGCGAAAGCCUGAUGCAGCAACGCCGCGUGUGCGAUGCAGGCCUUCGGGUCGUAAAGCACUUUCUAAGAGAUGAGAAAGGACAGUAUCUUAGGAAUAAGUCUCGGCUAACUACGUGCCAGC